GACAGACAGACAGACAGUUGGUAGGAGAUAGUGUCUAGAUACCGCAGGGUGGACCGACAGACAGACAGACAGACAGACAGACAGUCGGUAGGAGAUAGUGUCUAGAUACCGCAGGGUGGACAGACAGACAGUUGGUAGGAGAUAGUGUCUAGAUACCACAGGGUGGACAGACAGACAGACAGACAGGCAGUUGGUAGGAGAUAGUGUCUAGAUACCGCAGGGUGGACAGACAGACAGACAGACAGUUGGUAGGAGAUAGUGUCUAGAUAGCGCAGGGCCACAGGGUGGACAGACAGACAGACAGACAGUUGGUAGGAGAUAGUGUCUAGAUACCGCAUGGGUGGACAGACAUACAGACAGACAGUUGGUAGGAGAUAGUGUCUAGAUACCACAGGGCCACAGGGUGCACAGACAGACAGUUGGUAGGAAAUAAAUAGACAGUGCCAGACAGACAGUUGGUAGGAAAUAGAUAGACAGUGCCUAGAUACCUUCCUCUAAAGCCAGGAACACAUUUAGAAUGAGUCCCAAACGGCACCCUAUUCUCAUAGGGUCCUGGUCAAAGUAGUGCACUAUAAACUGAAUAGGCUGCCAUUUGGGAUGCAUACUUAGCCUUUUUUUUUUUUUUAAGUUUCUGUCAAAUCUGAGGUGUGUCAAUUUGGGAUUUAUCUCACCACUUGAGGUUUGAAAACGUCUGACAAUCGUAGAUGUUUGUGAAGCACUACUUUGAGACAUGGGUGUUACUAACAUUUGAUACAGGAUCAAAGUUGAAAUGUACCUGCAGGAAAUCAACUGUAUAUGUUUCUAAUAUAUGAGAAAGGAAGUCAAACUCAAUAGGACUUUUCUAUUGAGAGAAUGAGUCGAUAGAUUAUUUAUUAUUAUUAGCUUAUCAGCACCGUGUACUCUCACUGAGGACCUAUAAGAAGCAGUUUCACCUUUGUCCCGCCCCCUUCUCACCAGUCACACACCUUUUCUCGUAUGAUUGACACUGCAGCUAUCCACUCCCAACACUCCAUCCACAACGUUAAAGCCCAACACUAAUUACAAGAGGACUGGGGUCCGUUCAAGAGGGGGCGAUGUUCUGACAAAAUGUUUCUGAUUUAGAAAUGAGACGAGUGGACAUGAUUCUGUCCCAGAGGCCAGUCUAUUCUACACAAGGUAGAAGUAUUCAUUAGGUACUGAACGGAAGAACAACAGACUGCAACGGGAAGAGACUACCUGGACUCCAAUAAGAAGCGUUUUUUUAAACGUUUUUAAAAACGUUUUCAGUUGCAUGUCCUAAUGAGUGCAACCCUGUCAACUAACGUGUCCAUUUGUUACAAUGCUGCGUUGUCAGGUAUGCAAUGUCAAUGCUCCUCUCAAACCUAAAGGGUUGAAUGAAUGUGUUGUCAGGUAUGUCAUGUCAAUGCUGUGUUGUCAGGUAUGCAAUGUCAAUGCUCCUAUCAAACCUAAAGGGUUGAAUGAAUGUGUUGUCAAGUAUGUCAUGUCAAUGCUCCUAUCAAACCUAAAGGGUUGAAUGAAUGUGUUGUCAGGUAUGUCAUGUCAAUGCUGUGUUGUCAGGUAUGCAAUGUCAAUGCUCCUAUCAAACCUAAAGGGUUGAAUGAAUGUGUUGUCAAGUAUGUCAUGUCAAUGCUCCUAUCAAACCUAAAGGGUUGAAUGAAUGUGUUGUCAGGUAUGUCAUGUCAAUGCUCCUAUCAAACCUAAAGGGUUGAAUGAAUGUGUUGUCAGGUAUGUCAUGUCAAUGCUCCUAUCAAACCUAAAGGGUUGAAUGAAUGUGUUGUCAGGUAUGCAAUGUCAAUGCUCCUCUCAAACCUAAAGGGUUGAAUGAAUGUGUUGUCCCAUAGCAAUACAAUGCUGUGUUGUCAGGUAUGCAAUGUCAAUGCUCCUCUCAAACCUAAAGGGUUGAAUGAAUGUGUUGUCAGGUAUGUCAUGUCAAUGCUCCUCUCAAACCUAAAUGGUUGAAUGAAUGUGUUGUCAGGUAUGUCAUGUCAAUGCUCCUAUCAAACCUAAAGGGUUGAAUGAAUGUGUUGUCCCAUAGCGUGUUGCUGUAGAAGGUGAUUUGACCCAUCUGUUGUUGUCUGAAAGCUUCUAAUGGGGAAGGUUGUUUGGUAACACGUUACGUAAGAGCCAACUGGUAUAAUGCCUUAUAACUUGUUAUAAGCAUGUCUGCACCUUUUAUAAAAGUGUCACAGGCA
Non-coding RNA from Oncorhynchus mykiss (rainbow trout), 2192 nucleotides. The record is from RefSeq and is a predicted model, not a curated record. NCBI's taxonomy places the organism in Eukaryota, Metazoa, Chordata, Actinopteri, Salmoniformes, Salmonidae.